UCUUUUUUUUUUUUUUUUAAUAGGAUCCUUCUAGUACAUUAGCUGAAUGGUUUGACAGUAAACCAGACAUAUUUUGAAUUUGAAUAUCUAUCAACUCUGCCCAGUGAAAAACUGAAGAAUUCAUAAAUUAUCCAAAUACUUGCUUAAGGCUGAUUCUCAAACUUUUAAUUUUGUCUAAACCUUGAUAAAUAUUUCCAAAGUCUUCUGAAUUUGAAAUGGCAAGAAUUAAACUAGACCUCUCAGCAACAGUUAAUCAUUAAAAAAAAGCAGCAAAACAAACAAGACUUUUUUUGCCUCCUGUAUACAUCCGUUUUGACACAGCACGUUACAGAUAAUGUCUGUUCAAAAGCAGUGUUCUUCUCGCAGAGUUAAAUAUCCUCAUCAUAAGAUUUUAAAAACCCCAACACAAACUUGCUUUUUUUUCUUUUUUAAGCAAGAGAACAUAAUUCUUCAAAAAUUAUUGACAUGUUUUCUUUUAUUAUCCCUCUGCUAAAAAGGGUUAAGUGGACAUAAAUGCAAAAUUUGGCUGGUAACACAGCCUAUUUGUCAAACUGUAGUCAUCACUAAUCAGAUUUAGAAAUCUGGAUAAAAACAAGAGAGGAAAGAAAGAAGGAAAGGGAUAUGAGGAGGAGAAUAUGAAUGAGACUGAGAAUGAAUACAAAAAACCCCACUUCUUUCCCAGAGUUAAACAACAACAACAACAUAAAACAAAACUAAAGCAUGUUCACUCUAACUGAGGACAACGCUACUGUGGUUUGAAAGCCAGUAAAGAGUGAUUGUACAUGCUUUUGUUAAUAUGUUCCACUAGUAUUUCUCUGAGCACUAGAAGCCGCUCACUGGUUUUGCAUAAUAAAGCCAACCUGAGAUCAGACACAACAAAACUCCAUUAUUCCCACAUGUAUUUCAGUAAAGAAGUCGGAGAGUGCUCCUUGGAAUUACUAUCAUGAUCAGCACAGAAGGAUUUACAGAUGUAGUAAAGCUAAGAGAAAGCAUCACUAGCACCAACUCUCCUUCAUUUUCUGCCUAGAACGACUAACUUUCAAAGGAGGUUUCACAAAAAUACCUUCUUAGUGGGACAGAGCCUGACCAGAACCAAGACUUUUACCACAUCAUUUCACUUGUAAUUCCAUCAAAUUUGCUGAAUUCUUGAAACAUGGCUGAUAUGAACUAAAUGGAAGA
RNAcentral lists this long non-coding RNA (1179 nucleotides) under Strigops habroptila (Kakapo). Its description in RNAcentral is "lncRNA (ENSSHBG00005010024.1)". Lineage: Eukaryota; Metazoa; Chordata; Aves; Psittaciformes; Psittacidae. The record is from RNAcentral.